UCCGUAGGUGAACCUGCGGCGAAAGUGAUCAUUAGAGUUUGAGCCGGCGCUUGGGUGCGCGGCGAGAUCUA
RNAcentral lists this ribosomal RNA (71 nucleotides) under Pichia sp. JP-2008. RNAcentral describes it as "partial 18S ribosomal RNA". Lineage: Eukaryota; Fungi; Ascomycota; Pichiomycetes; Pichiales; Pichiaceae. The record is from RNAcentral.